RNAcentral lists this ribosomal RNA (494 nucleotides) under uncultured bacterium. Its description in RNAcentral is "bacterial SSU rRNA". It matches the Rfam family "Bacterial small subunit ribosomal RNA", at positions 1014 to 1519 of the family's 1533-position model. The record is from RNAcentral.
UUCUCUUCGGAGCAGAGGUGACAGGUGGUGCAUGGUUGUCGUCAGCUCGUGUCGUGAGAUGUUGGGUUAAGUCCCGCAACGAGCGCAACCCUUGUCAUUAGUUGCCAGCAGUUCGGCUGGGCACUCUAGUGAGACUGCCGGGGAUAACUCGGAGGAAGGUGGGGAUGACGUCAAAUCAUCAUGCCCCUUAUGUUCUGGGCUACACACGUGCUACAAUGGCUGGUACAAAGAGACGCAAGACCGCGAGGUGGAGCAAAUCUCAAAAACCAGUCCCAGUUCGGAUUGUAGGCUGCAACUCGCCUACAUGAAGUUGGAGUUGCUAGUAAUCGCGAAUCAGAACGUCGCGGUGAAUGCGUUCCCGGGUCUUGUACACACCGCCCGUCACACCAUGGAAGUUGGGGGCGCCCGAAGUCGGCUAAUUAAUAGGCUGCCUAAGGCGAAAUCAAUGACUGGGGUGAAGUCGUAACAAGGUAGCCGUAUCGGAAGGUGCGGCU